Long non-coding RNA from Heterocephalus glaber (naked mole-rat), 3683 nucleotides. NCBI's taxonomy places the organism in Eukaryota, Metazoa, Chordata, Mammalia, Rodentia, Bathyergidae. The record is from Ensembl.
UUUUUCCUCACUCUGGAAAAGGAACUAAUUGUGGUUUCCUAAUUUCAAGCCAAUCUCCAGUCUCAAUGCCCUCUUUGUGCAUGUGUGUUUUACCCAAUUACCAAAAAAGGGGGGAAAAAAGAGAAUGCACUGGGAAUUACUUAGUCCAGUAGAAAUGAAUUCACAAGGAAGGGGCUGGGAAUUUUUCCUCUCCUUUUAUCUGACCCGGAAUCAGCCCGUGCUGGCCAGAGCUGACUUUUGCCCCAGGCAUUUUGACUACCCCAUACCUUUCUUUCUUCAAUUCCAUCUUUCCAGAUUUUCAGCCAAGACCGACUUCGUUCAGUUGAUCGAUGAAGGACACAAGCCAGCCCACCGUGAGGUCAACACGAUCGAUGCGGACCUCCAGGACUGUCCGCUCUCGGAAACGGAGAAGUAGCGGUGCCUGGUCACGCCCAGAAGAUUUGGGGAUUUGGGCUUUCUCCAGCCGGGCUCUGGUUCCAGAACCAGAGAAAGGAUGGGGGUGGGGCGGGCGGGAAGACUCAAAAAGCCCCGUCAGGAGAGCUGGGGCUGGGAGAGCAGCUCUCUUGCACCGGAAAGGUGUGCAGGGCUGUUUCCUUACGAAGGAGAGAGGGCGUAGGAGCGCCAAGCUGGAUUUCGUUCUGGAAUGGCUCGCCUGGGAUUUGGACCGCGGGAUCGCUGCGUUUUGAGCCCUCUGUCCCUUGCCCGGACUAGAAUCCGAGAAAUGGGUUUGUUAGAGUAUUUCUGAAUCCCCAGGAGGACGACACUGUCUGCUCAUGGAGGACAGUGACCCAAGAGAUCAGGCAUCUUCUCCGUGACAGCCUUUUUUGUUUUUUCAGGGGACAAAACAAAGACAAAUAAUCUCAGAGACACAAAGGCAUUGCCCAGGGUCGCAUAGCUGGUUUCGUGGGGCAUCUAGGAUGCAAGCCCGGGGCCUGUCUACCUCAGCGGCUGGCCAUAGUACCAGGGCUGUGAAGGUCAGCAGGCACACAGGAGGUCCAACGAGGGACCUCCUGCUUUACGGCUUUGUCCUUUGGGGGGGGGGGGGGGGGAUUUUCCAUUUACCCCUUUCCCAUGCAGACCCCGAAACUGCUUGUUGUUUGGCCUCUUCCUGUCCAACAAAGGCAACUGGUGGGUGGUGGAGGUGUAAGUCCCACACAACCUUAUGGUGGUCUGCACUUCCAGCAGGUCUUUCAAGGCUUGUGUGUGCGUGUGCACGUGUGUGCGUGUGUCUGUUUGCGCGUGCAUGCGUGUGGGGUGUGUGUGUGUGGAAUUCAUUCGGCCCAGACGGACCUUCACAAAGCGGCUGCAGGCAGGCACCUCCACUGCCCAGCCAACACCCAGGCGCCCGCGGCGAAUUCAUUGAGCCCUGAAAGAUGGGGCCACGCAGCUUCCAGUUAAUUAGUGAAGAAAUGAAUCAAGCCCCAGCGGCCUGGCAAGGGAUCCUGGGGCGCGGGCAUUGUGCAAGCCAAAUUGGUCGGCGGGGCUCUCCUCUCCUGCCUGGCGAGGCGCGGCGGGAACGCAGCUCGUACGCCCUGCGCCUGCUCGGUCGCCCUGCGCGGUGCGCUCCCAGCCCCGCGCUCCCCUCCUCUGUCUCUCUCUUUCUCCCUUGACCUUGACCUUGACCUUGACCGUCGCCGACCUUUCUGGGUCUUUCCGGGUCUCUCCUCCUCCCUGGACUUUGUGGGAGUUUCCUGUCCUCCUGGAGGCCCCUCUCCAACCUCUUCUCCGAGGUGCCCGCUCAGCCCGGCAGGAUCUGGGGCAGCGAGGCGGGGGACCGCGGGCAUCCCAGGGCCCGGUGCAGAGAGGGGACUGAGCACCUGUGCGGGGGCCUGGAGACUGUGGUGUGCUCCGGGCGGGACCUCUCCAGCUCUCCAGCCUUGGGUGGCUUUGGAUAGAGCUCUUGGCUCAGUAAGGAGAGCCCCCCCCGCCACCAUGCAGCACGGUGCUGGGUGGACUCCGUACUCGGUAUCCUGUGUCUGCCCCAUGAGUUCCUAGAAUUAAGGAGACCCACAGCACAAAUCAUUAGGCGCCUGCUAUGUUCCCCCCUUACUGGCUUCCUGUUAACCCAGCCAGGGAAGAUACAAGUGGUUUUGUUAGCGGCAGCUCUCACGUUUGCUGCUUUUCCCCAAACUAUAGGUUUAGGGGGCCUGGGCCUCUACCAAGUGUUUAAGGACAGCACGAGGGUCCCGAAUCGCUCAGGCUGACUCAAUCUCUUUCUCACCUGCUGUCCCGGAUCUCUGCUCUCUUUCCGCGAAUGCAGGCGGAAUUCGGACUCCAAAGCUAACAUCAGAAUCGCCCCUUUCUUCCAGUUACCUGAGUAGCUGCACCCCUUCUGCGGUGAGGACCUCCACCUGCGGGGAGCCGAGUCUGAGCAGCCCUCAGAUGAUCCCUUGCCCUCUGCCCUGCUGACCCACACCCCUCCCCAAGCCGCAUUCCUGAGGUCCCAGCAGGGACCCCGGCAGAUGCCUGGGAGGAGAACGAAUGAGUUCCAAACAGCAGCCGCCAACCGAGUUUUGACCGACUUUGGCUUUGUCAGGGCCCAGCGGUGCCCUCGACGCGCUUGGCUUCACCUCCCUUUCGAAAGAGGCCGGGCGCUGUGGUUUCCGUUCACUGUAGCCCUGCCUCGUACACAGGGCAGGGCCCUAGUGAGCUUCCCAAGCUACAGCCAAGUGCUUUGAGCCUCAGUUUCCCCAUUGUUUUCAGAUUAGAGAAGCAGCAGAGAAACUAGCUGGGGAGGAGGGUCUGCCAAUGUGUUGCCUGGUAACGGGGCUGAAGUUUUGUGUGUCCAGGGGUCACACAACCCUGGCUGCCCGCUCAUCCGUCUCCUGGAGCAGAAGUCAGGAAGGGACCCUGAGAUGGGCUUGCUUCCCACACUAGCAGCGAUGCUUCAUGGCCCUGUCUUCCCCAAGGGGGACCACAGUGUGGUGGAGCUCAGUGGGUGGCCCCGCAGGUGAGGAUCUGCCAGGUGUCGGCCAGCAGGUGCAUUCAAGUGUGAGCAAAAGUGCCCUCAUGGGCCUUCUUUCCCCCGUGGUCAGUGCUAGUAAGGGUACAUUUGCACAGCAGUGAGUGGGCUGCAACCAAACACCCGGAACCUAGGAGAUGGCAUAUGACAGCCUUGGAACUUUGUUUUGUUACAGGGUCUCACUAUGUAGUCCGUGUUGGCCUCAGUCUCUAGGAAAUCCUCGUGCCUCAGCCUCUCUUUUGCUGGGAUCACAGGUGUGCCUGCACCACCAUGCUCAAUAGAGCCUAGAAACUUUGGGUAGACCCUUAACCUCUCUAAGCCUCAGUUGCUUUCUCUGAAAAAUGGCAUAACAAGGCCAGCCCUGGUGGCUCUUGCAGAAGGCAAUGAGGUCACGCAUGCGCCCGCUCAGCCCUCCCCCAGGGGGUGGGGCGUGCAGUAAGAGCUCAGGAAUCACUAGGCAUUUGGGCGUGGUCAACAGGCUCCAGUUUGGAUCUUUUCAGAUUUGGGAAUGUUUGCAUAAUGAGCUCUUCUAUCACGUCAUGUACACUUUAUACAGGUAGCCCGAGGGCCAGGGAUUUAGCUCAGUAAUUCCGGCGCCUCACAAGCACAAGGUCCCGAGUUCAAUCCCCGGUACCAAAAAAAAAAACAACACAUACACGUAGCCUGCAGGUAAUCAUAUACCACAUCUCUGUGCGCCUGCAGCUUCUGUGUUGACUGCGAG